CUGCAUGUCAGACCCCUGCCUCCCUCGAUCACCAUAGGGAGUGUGGGUGACGGAGAGACAUGCCAGAGUCAAACAGCAUGGAGCUCACAGGGCCAGCAGUCUCACAGAGCGGACUGACUGGUAGUAUCGCGCUCCAACACUU
Small nucleolar RNA from Megalops cyprinoides (Indo-Pacific tarpon), 142 nucleotides. RefSeq annotates it as small nucleolar RNA U109. The record is from RefSeq and is a predicted model, not a curated record. The transcript has a single exon. Lineage: Eukaryota; Metazoa; Chordata; Actinopteri; Elopiformes; Megalopidae.